This 860-nucleotide long non-coding RNA is filed under the name Citrus maxima (pomelo). Its description in RNAcentral is "long non-coding RNA (CMAX_LNC000346)". Lineage: Eukaryota; Viridiplantae; Streptophyta; Magnoliopsida; Sapindales; Rutaceae. The record is from RNAcentral.
AUGCAUUCAACUUUCACACACUUACCGACUCAUGGUAGCUCACCUCACCAGCAACCAUGACCCUCAAAUCUCUAAUGCCCAAAACCAAAGGGCUAGUAACAUUGUCGACCGAUCGCCAUCUUCCUCGCAGCCUCACCUGGCCUCGUGUUGAAGCUCUCCUGAGCACGUUGUUGUCACUGCACGUUCCACACCUUGCCAUCAUCGAAGCCUUGCCUGAUUGGCUUGUUCUUGUCGGUAGUUGUUACUGCACGUUUCUAUUAAAUUUUCUGUUCUUUCUAUUAAUUACAUUGCUUUUUUUUGGUUAAUAAUUUGGUAUUGUGGCUAAAUGUUUGAUUGUAUUUGAUGAGUUUAAUCUAAUGUAAAUAUGUUAAAACUUGAAAAUGUUGCUGGCUUGAUUUAAUUUCCUUGCUGAUUUAAUUUAAUUUAAUUUUGCUUAAUUUUCUUUGCUGAUUUGUUUAAUUAUUUUAAUUAAAUGCAUUAAUUUUCAAUAUAAUGUAAAUGCUUAAUCUCUUUUUUUUUUUCUUCACAUAUGCUAACUCACUUUGCAUAUUACUUUAAUUAGGUUUCGGGAUUAGUUGAACAUGGCCGAAGGGGAGCAAGGAAAUAAUUUUUCAUUCUCUCCAAAUAGCAGCAUCAUAUGUUGGAUUCGAAACUUGGAAUUUCCAUGGAUUUGUAGUGUUUUUAUUUGCGGAUUUUAAUGGUGGUGUGCUUGAAUUUAUGUUAUUUUUUGUUUGAUUUAUAUUGUGAUAUUUUUAUUUGUGGAUUUAUGAUGUUGUUGGAUUUUAUUUACUUAUUCAUGUUGAACUGUUAAUUGUUAAAUUAUGAUUUAAUUCUAUUUGAUAUUAUUAGAUAAUUAUUAA